Molecule: ribosomal RNA, 388 nt
Filed under: uncultured bacterium
Lineage: Bacteria
Description: bacterial SSU rRNA
Rfam family: Bacterial small subunit ribosomal RNA
Source: RNAcentral
AUCCAGACUCCUACGGGAGGCAGCAGUGGGGAAUAUUGCACAAUGGGGGAAACCCUGAUGCAGCAACGCCGCGUGAGUGAGGAAGUAUUUCGGUAUGUAAAGCUCUAUCAGCAGGGAAUAGAAAAGAAGGUACCUGAAAAAGAAGCCCCGGCUAACUACGUGCCAGCAGCCGCGGUAAUACGUAGGGGGCAAGCGUUGUCCGGAUUUACUGGGUGUAAAGGGCGUGUAGCCGGGCUGACAAGUCAGAUGUGAAAUCCGGGGGCUCAACCCCCGAACUGCAUUUGAAACUGUUUCCCUUGAGUGUCGGAGAGGUAAUCGGAAUGCCUUGUGUAGCGGUGAAAUGCGUAGAUAUAAGGAAGAACGCCAGUGGCGAAGGCGGAUUACUGGA